Long non-coding RNA from Alligator mississippiensis (American alligator), 3676 nucleotides. RefSeq lists it as uncharacterized. The record is from RefSeq and is a predicted model, not a curated record. The transcript has 2 exons. Lineage: Eukaryota; Metazoa; Chordata; Crocodylia; Alligatoridae.
CCAGCCCAGCCCGCCCGCCCGCCCCGGCGGCGGCGCCGCCCCCCCUCCCUUGUGUGGGGCCCGAGACCCGCUGAGGUGCUCUGCUUGGGCCCGGCUGGGCUAGCUAGGGGGCCGGCGCGUCUCUGCAGGACGUGGUGUGAAGGAAAGCAGCGGCCACCUCCUCCACCUCUUGUACGGCGCCCGAUGCAGAAGCCCCCGUCCUGGCAGAGGAGUAGGCUGGGGAGGAGCCCUCAAGCAGGGCAGGCCCAAGGUGUGGCUCGGGCAUCAGGGAGGACACAGGUGCCCCUGGGGAAACCUCCCUCUGGGAAGGGCAGGUGCCCCGCACACUUUAAGCGACUCCAGGGUUAGGCAGCCUCUGAGCCCACAGCUUCACCCCUAGGCUUUGAGUUCCCGAGUCUUUUGUGGCUCUAGCCCUUCUUCUUUGUCGGAGCCAAUAUGGCAUCUGGUUCCUCCAUCAGUACAGAAAUGUGACCUAAAGAUACAGGACUAAUUUACAGAAUUGCAACUGGCGAAUGGAAAGAUCAGAGCCAGGAGGUCUAAAACAGGGCAGGGGCAGGGCUCUGCGCGUCAAGGCUGGGAUCAGGCAGGAAGGAGCAGGGCAGGAACAAGGCUGUAGUGGGGCAGGAGCGAGAGAGAGGUCCAGAAGCACACACACAGGAGCACUGUUGCUGGGACAAGUCCCACAAGAAGUACAAAGUGGGUUUUAUGGUCCCCCUCUCAAGGGCUUGUUCCUCCAGGUCACCUGACUCCUCCUCAGUGUCCUCAUGGGAGGCACCCGGCUGGACUGGGGCUAGCAUCUGACCAGCUGCCGUCUAGUUUGGCUGGUUUGAGUCGCAUAAUAAACCCAGAGAUUUCAACUAGGAAUCCACAGUAUUAGACCACAACAGGCCAGAAUGUUGUUUUGUUUUGUUUUUAAUUCCUUGCAAUAGAAGAAUUUCUCCAUUAUUUUUCUGUAGUCCAAAAACAAGUGAAAACUAAGAUCUGAGAUUUUAUGAAGUGUCUCUCAAGUCAAAAAGGUAGAGAACCACUACAGUAAAGUCCUAGUACAUAGCCAAUUCCCUAAUACAGCAUCUGUGAUGAUCUAAAUGUGGAAAUGUCCAAAUACCACAGAAAUAAUUACAAGAAAAACUGAGGGGAAAUAAAUAAGAAGUGAUCAUGCUUAACAGUUUAGGAAAAAGAAAGGGGGAGAGAAAGAGCAUCCAACUGCAAAGUGGCUACUCUAAAUUUGGCAGUACCUUUAUAAGAAGUUUCUACCCAAGUCACAAUGUGGUUUUAGACCACUCAGAGGCACAAUAGAUAUCAAGCUUUGUUGCUAGACAGCUGCAGGAAAAGUGUCGCAAGCAACACAGAAAUCGAUACAUAGGUCAAUAAAGGCUAAGGCCUUUGAUUCAUUCAGAGAAGCUCUAUGGAAGAUCCUGGUGAGAUUCGGAUGCCAUCCAAGCUAUUUUGCAUCUGAUUGCUGACAGACUUCCAUCUGAAGACAACAUCCAAUAUCACGUGCAUGAGAAUUGCUUUAACUACAACUGGUCACAUUGCAAAUCCAAGGUAACCAAUGCCUCCGUUACUUCAAUACGCUGACAAUUUUCUAAUGUGUGCUUGCACAGUUGAAAAGCUCCAGGGCACUCUUGAUUGCUUCUUUGAAGCAUAUGAAACACUUGGACUUAGUCAACUUCACAUAAACCAAGAUACUUUGCCAACCCAUGCCAAACCAACCAACUGUUCCUUCAUACAUUACAAUUAGAGGGCAAUCCUUGGAGAAUGUUGAGCAUUUCCCCUACCUGGGUAGCUACUUUUCCCAAAAAGUAAACAGAGAUUACAAUAUUCAACACCAGGUUAAAUCUACCAUUGCUGCCUUUGGACAUCUCUGAAAUUGUGUCUUCAAUGGUCAUACCAUCAGGACCCAAAGCUGUCAUCCCUACCCCAUUGUAUGGGUGUGAGACUUGGAUGAUGUAUUGAAAACACCGGAAAGCUUUGGGAUGUUGCCAUCAACAAUGUCUUCAGAAAAUCGUCCAUAUCAACUGGAAGGACAAAAGAAUGAACACCAGUAUUCUGGCUCAAGCAAACUCCCCGCAUUGAAGCCAUGAAUAUACAGCACCAACUUUGCUAGAGAGGACAUGUCAGAACGAUGCCUGACAACUGGCUCCCAAAACAAGUCCUAUACUCCCAACUCACCAAUGAUCACCACUCCAAAGGUGGGUAAAAGGAAAGAUUCAAGGACACUUUGAAGGCCAAUCAGAAAAAAUGCAAUAUUAAUAUCAAUACCUGGGAGACUCAAGCACUGAAUCAUCUCCCAAUGACACCGUGGUAUAUGACAAGGCAUUGAUCAUUUUGAGCAAAGUCACCUCACUUUGGAGGUGGAUAGAUGAGAGAGACAAAGGGAAAGGGCUUGGAAGAACUCAACCUCACCAGGUUCUUCUCCUAGAACUAUUUGCUACGUCUUCAAUAAAAUAUGUGGAUCUCAGAUUUGCCCACUCAGUCAUCUUUGAAUCAAGGAACCGACAAUGAUGCCAACUUCAGAUAGGACAGAGGUAUAACUGGGGGAACCUUAAUUUUAAAAAGUUAGAUACCUUUUGACUUUAAAUGACUCAAGGGUUAGGCACCAGCUGAGCAGAGAUUUUGAGCACUGUAGCUUUGCACUCGAGUGUGUCCACAAAAGGAAUGUUUAUGUCAGUAAUGUGACAGGCAAUAUAGAUGAGGUGCGUAUUUCAUCUGGAUAAUAACUUACUCUAUAAGUAAUUAUCAUGUAUAGUGAAUUGAGUUAAGGGUAUCCGAAUCUGACCAGUUUCUUUUUACAGAAAUACAAAGUAUUUUUUGCUUGAUGAGGAAAUCCCAGCAACUGCAGACUAUGCUAGAGAUGUCCAUUCAGGAGAGAGAGAGAGCGUGUAUGUAUGUAUAUAAAUUAGGGCUGUCAAUCGCAGUUAACUUACAGGAUCAAGGCAAAAACAAAUUAACCCAUUUAUUUUUUUAAUUGUGUAAAUUGCAAACAUUGUUUUGACCAGGGGAGCAGACCAGCUGGAACCCAUGUGCACAGCCCUGACCCAAUGCCUGCUCCAGACACCCGCCCAUGCUGAGCAGUGGCAGCAGCUGGACAGAAGCUGCUAUUUGAUACGAGGGAAAGUGGCCCACCCCGUCAUCGCUACCGGGCCCUUCUUGUUGCAGUCGCCUAAAGUCUGCACCUGGGCUGCUCUGUGGGUCCUCUCUGUUGCCAUCACUGCCGCCUCUGGGCCGUGAUGCGGUGGCAGUGCAGAGGAGCUGCAGGGCAGCUGCAGAAAGAAGGGCCCAGCAGCGGUGAGGGGAAGGGGCCGUUUUUCCUCCGCGCUAAGCGGCUGCUCCUGCCUGGCCACUGCCACUGCUCAGCGUAGGCAGGUGAGUCUGGAGCAAGCACAGGGUGGGCCAGGGUUGGGGAUGUUUGCAUGGGUUCCAGCUGAUCCGCUCCAGCCAGGGCAAGUCCAAGGCGGGCUGGGAUCAGGGCUACAGCUGUGCACUGUAGCUGGUGGCAAGGAGGACCUGCAGGGUGCACAGGGCUCCAGGCUGUUGGGUGGGGGGUGCUGACUAUCGUUUAAUUGUACAAUUAAAAUGGCAAUUAAUUGUUACUAUUUUUUAAUCUCACAAUUAAUUGUGAUUAAUGUAUUUUAAUCAUUUGUCAACCCUAAUAUAAAUAUAUAUAUAUUUUAAA